GUGCCAGCAGCCGCGGUAAUACGGAGGGGGCUAGCGUUGUUCGGAAUUACUGGGCGUAAAGCGCACGUAGGCGGACCAGAAAGUUGGGGGUGAAAUCCCGGGGCUCAACCUCGGAACUGCCUUCAAAACUAUUGGUCUUGAGUUCGAGAGAGGUGAGUGGAAUUCCGAGUGCAGAGGUGAAAUUCGUAGAUAUUCGGAGGAACACCAGUUGCGAAGGCGGCUCACUGGCUCGAUACUGACGCUGAGGUGCGAAAGCGUGGGGAGCAAACAGGAUUAG
RNAcentral lists this ribosomal RNA (277 nucleotides) under uncultured Rhodobacterales bacterium. RNAcentral's name for it is "partial 16S ribosomal RNA". It matches the Rfam family "Bacterial small subunit ribosomal RNA", at positions 505 to 781 of the family's 1533-position model. Lineage: Bacteria; Pseudomonadati; Pseudomonadota; Alphaproteobacteria; Rhodobacterales. The record is from RNAcentral.